This is a long non-coding RNA of Suricata suricatta (meerkat), 553 nucleotides long. RefSeq lists it as uncharacterized. The transcript has 3 exons. The record is from RefSeq and is a predicted model, not a curated record. NCBI's taxonomy places the organism in Eukaryota, Metazoa, Chordata, Mammalia, Carnivora, Herpestidae.
AUCACUGCUCUCAUACUUGAGCACAUCACCUCCCUGUUAAGACGGACAGGCCUGGGGUCGCUGACGGAGGCCCUACAAGACUCCGUGGUCCCACAGCCCGGCAUGAAAACAUCCAAUGAGCCGCCGUGUGGGUGAAGCCAGGUCUCCAGCCAGUCAACUUCACGGGGGGGCGUCUACACUGUGAUAGCAAGUUUCAGCACGCUUACCUAACCAGCCUUCUGCAGGAAUGGAAGAUCUCCAGCUCUCAUCUCGAGCCUUCCCCAAUCCAGCGUCCAGCUGUCCUAACGAGCCUUGCCGGCUGGCUUCAGCCCAGCGUGGAGUCCAAGGCAGGCCCGCCCCACAGCCCCGAGACCGAGACCUGCGAGGAGGCCAGGGUCUGGCGCCCCUGGUCAGUACUUCAAAGGCUUCCAUUUCCACAAAAACCGGCACAGAUUUGCUCCUCCCCCGGACGCCAUUCACCGCCGCCCGGAUGCCUGGAUCAUCCCCGUUUCCUGGGUCGCUUCAAGUGCCCGCCGGUGGCAGGAGGACAGGGUAUGGUAGGGGCUGUGUUACU